AAUGAACGCUGGCGGCGCGCCUAAUACAUGCAAGUCGAGCGAGAAGACGUAGCAAUACGUUUGUAAAGCGGCGAACGGGUGAGGAAUACAUGGGUAACCUACCCUCGAGUGGGGAAUAACUAGCCGAAAGGUUAGCUAAUACCGCGUACGCUUCUUGGACUUCGGUUCAGGGAGGAAAGCGAUGCCGAGGGUAUCGCGCUCUUGGAUGGACUCAUGUCCUAUCAGCUUGUUGGGAGGUAACGGCUCACCAAGGCUUCGACGGGUAGCUGGUCUGAGAGGACGAUCAGCCACACUGGCACUGCGACACGGGCCAGACUCCUACGGGAGGCAGCAGUAAGGAAUAUUGCGCAAUGGGCGAAAGCCUGACGCAGCGACGCCGCGUGGGGGA
This 388-nucleotide ribosomal RNA is filed under the name uncultured bacterium. RNAcentral's name for it is "bacterial SSU rRNA". It matches the Rfam family "Bacterial small subunit ribosomal RNA", at positions 29 to 408 of the family's 1533-position model. The record is from RNAcentral.